RNAcentral lists this long non-coding RNA (205 nucleotides) under Elaeis guineensis (African oil palm). RNAcentral's name for it is "long non-coding RNA (EGUI_LNC018902)". The record is from RNAcentral. Lineage: Eukaryota; Viridiplantae; Streptophyta; Magnoliopsida; Arecales; Arecaceae.
AAUCUAAUUCCUACUCUUCUUUAGCAUUCAAAUACCAUUCUAAUACUUAUUCCGAUUUUGAUCAUGGAUCAAAUAUAUCAAAAAAUAUGAUCAUUCUGAUUCCAUUCCAAUUCAUCUCUAUUCCGGCACCAAUUCUAAUUUUGGUUGCAAAUCAAAUGCCCCCAGCAUCCUUUGCGGGCUGCGUGGAUUACACAUAACUAUGGUC